GUUCACUUGAAGAGAGAGAAAACGGUUUCCAUUUGAGGAGAGAGAAACCACAAUUCGUUGCCCAAUCUUCUUCAAUUUUCGCCAAAUUUCUGUUUUGGUGCGGCACUGGUUGUGUUGAGCUUGCGGUGGUGGUGCAGUGGCGCCAUGAAUUGUUGUUGGUGAGAAGACGGCGAUACUUUGUUGUAGGUUCUUCUUCUGUGCUUGACAACGUGCGAGGAACAGAUCUUGAGGUGGUUGUGACUUGAGGUGGUUGUGCCUUGAAGUGGUUGACUGCUGGAUUUCUAUCGUCUCCGGCGAGAUCGUUGAGGAGAUACGAAGGAAUAGAGGCGGCGAUCGAAGUGAUGAUCGGCUAUUAUUUGCUUUUCAGAUCGAAGUGAUUCACCUCCGUGCAUUGGUGUUGGCAUUAUUGGACCUUCGGUGGUGGCGGAUGGUUGUGAGGUGCUCCUGUUGCUGUGGCGAGAUGUCGGGUAGAGUAGUUGGUGCUUACAAGGCUCUAAUAUGAUUUUGGGUUUUGAUUGUAAAUGUAAAUCAAUUUUAGUUAUGAAUUAUUCUAUUUUAGUUAAAUUUUUGUUAUAUUUAGUUAUGAAAUAAAAUGAUUUAGUUACAUUGUUUUUUA
Long non-coding RNA from Spinacia oleracea (spinach), 616 nucleotides. RefSeq lists it as uncharacterized. The record is from RefSeq and is a predicted model, not a curated record. The transcript is spliced from 2 exons. Lineage: Eukaryota; Viridiplantae; Streptophyta; Magnoliopsida; Caryophyllales; Amaranthaceae.